This 463-nucleotide ribosomal RNA is filed under the name uncultured bacterium. RNAcentral's name for it is "partial 16S ribosomal RNA". It matches the Rfam family "Bacterial small subunit ribosomal RNA", at positions 339 to 795 of the family's 1533-position model. The record is from RNAcentral.
CUACGGGCCGCACCAGUGAGGAAUUUUGCGCAAUGGGGGAAACCCUGACGCAGCAACGCCGCGUGAGUGAAGAAGGCUUUCGGGUCGUAAAGCUCUGUCAGAUAGGAAAAAAGUUCAUAUGUAAAUAGCUUAUGAAUCUGAUGGUACUAUCAGAGGAAGCACCGGCUAACUCCGUGCCAGCAGCCGCGGUAAUACGGAGGGUGCAAGCGUUGUUCGGAAUUACUGGGCGUAAAGGGCGUGUAGGCGGUAUGGUAAGUCAGAUGUGAAAGCCCUGGGCGUAACUCAGGAAGUGCAUUGAUACUGCCAUCCUCGAGUAUGGGAGAGGAGAGUAGAAUUCCCAGUGUAGAGGUGAAAUUCGUAGAUAUUGGGAGGAAUACCCGUGGCGAAGGCGACUCUCUGGACCAAUACUGACGCUGAGACGCGAAAGCGUGGGGAGCAAACAGGAUUAGAUACCCGCGUAGUC